GAAAGUCUUUAUGAGUAUAUUAUCCAUGGCUUCUGGCUGUCUCAAUUCCUGCUUUCUGACCUUCCAUGAUACAAACCAUCAUGGACUGAACGUUUGAAACCAUGAACUAAAAUAUAUUUUUCUUCUUUAAGUUGCUUCUGCUAGGUAUUUUGGAUAUGGAAGCUAUAAAAGCAGUUGAUAUUAGUUCUAAGCCAGACAGUUUAGCUCCAACCCCUGGAAGUGUUUUUCUGUGAAGGGAUAGUGGAUUGUGUCCUCAGUUUGUCCAUUGUACCUAGCUUCAGAACCCUUCCCACAGUGGCUUCUGGAGAACAGUGGGUGCUUCCCAGACUACUAGGGUCUCUCCAUAUCUUUGCUAAGAAGUUGGGGCUGCAAGGGAACGCUGCCUAGACAUUUCUCUAUUUUCCCACCUUCUAGUGACUUUGGUUUUUGUUGUUGUUGUUUGUUUGUUUGUUUGUUUUCCCUCUAACAACAGUGGUUCCUAGAUCAGGGUUGGAUUGGGAUCCUAGGGCGUCUUCCCUAAGCCGUUCCCUGAGUUGGCUUCCUACUAAUAUUGCCCUGCUCACUUAGAUCUGGAAGUCAGUAGAAUCUUUAGCAACACUCACUGUGAGUUGAGGCCCUGUGUUUAGGAUAAGCCUGCCAGUGUAGACUGUGACCUUUUCCCCAUCUCUCCUGUACAUUCGUUUUCAUGACAGGUACUAUGGUUCUUAAUGGCCCAUUUCCUCUAACAGGCCAUAAGUUGUUGCUGUAAAACAAGACUCUGUGCCAUUGACCAUGUCUCUAGCUCAAGCUCGCCCUCAAGGGCUGCGUGUGCUCCUCACAGUCCCGAGAAGGGAACAAUAGUUAACUUCUACUAACUUAUGGGUAGUCUUAUGGGCUUAUGGGUAGUCCCAAGCAUGGUGCUAAGUGCCUCUCCAGCCUUAUCUCUUUGAAUCUUCACAGCAAUAUUGUUAGUGAGACUCCUCUGGCAUCUAACUUUCACAGUGACAAAAAUGGAGAGAGGUCAAGUAUUUUGACCAAGGUUACACAGCUUGGAAGUAUGAUAGCUUGAAUCUGCUACCCCGCCAUGUAAGCUGUUCCACACCUUCAAGCCCUUGCACACGUUGUCUCCUUGCUUGAGACUCCUCUCUAUGCUUCACUGUUCAACACAAAUUCUCUCAUUCUGUGCAUAUCUUAGAAGAGGACUCCUCUAUUUUCUUUUUAGCUUGUGUAGCUCGGUGUAUGAUCUGUUCACUACCUUGUGCUUUAGUUGAUUUUCAUAUCUUUCUUCCCUAGACAGAUGGCAUAUUUGCACCAUACAAUUCUUGAUGACUUUUGAAUCUUCUUCAGUGAUUAUCAUACCUUCUCAGUUAGUAUAUGCUCAUUGAAUCUUGGCUCUCGAUUUUUUUAGUAUUGAUAAUGUUGAUACUUAUAGCAUUACCACAAAGGCAAGGGAUGCACCUUUCCAAACUGUUAAUAUACAAAGCAAUGUGUGGGUUGUACUAACAUAAUUUGCUUUUGCAAUCCUUCCUUAUUCAAUAGGAAACUUAGUUACAAAAAAGAAGGAAUGCUAUGUGAUUAUUUCUAUGACUGGUAAAUUAGAAAGAAGAAAAAUGGAUUCUGUAGAUGUCAAGUUUAUGAAAAACACCCAUUGCCAGUUCUGCCGUUUUAUGGGAAAAACAGGCCCCAUUCUGAAAUUUAACCUUUGGAUACUUCACCAGAAGCCACAGCGGUUCCCAAUGUUGAGGGUACAUCAAUAGGUAUCUCUCUUCUGCUCCAAAGCCAACAAUUCUGAGAGCAUAUCUCCACCUCUAACCAGUGGUUCCUCUUACCACCUUCCCUGAGCCACAAAGGUACCUUUUUUCAUUUUUGGCUUAAAACAUCAUUUUUACAAUUAACAGUUAUAUUUCAGCCAUUAUGGAAAACAGUAGAAAGCUUCCUCAAAAAGCUAAAAAACCAGAACCACCACGUGACUUAGCAAUCCCCCUCUGGAUAUAGAUCUAAAGGGAGUGAAAUUUGUGUUUCAAUCGUUAUCUGCACUCCCAUGUUCAUCACAGCCAAAAUAUGAAAGCAGGGUGUGCAAUAAUAAAAUUAUAAGACAGAUGUAUUUUCUUUAAAAAAAAAAAAGGAUAUAUAAAGAGAAAGUAUGGAGCAAUAUUGAGCCACAAAAAGAAAACUGCUAUUUACAACAUGAGUGAACUGGUAAGUCAUGGUGCAAAAUGAAUCAUGCUAUCAAAGAAAGGUGAAUUCUAUAUUGUUUGGGUUAGAACUUUCAAAGACCCAUGUAUGUCUUGGUCAGCAGCCUGAGACCCUACUGGGAAAUGGGAAAACAUUUAGAAGGUGGGGCUAGGGAGACAAGUCAAUGGAAUCCUUUGAAGGUGGUGUUGGGACCCCGACCUCUUCCUGAUCCUUUCUUAGCUUCCUGGACUCCAUUAGACAAGCAAUCCGUUGCCAUGAAAUCCUGCCUGUGGGACGUCAUUUUUCCAGAGGCUUUUAAGCAUGACGGGACCAAGUGUCAGGAGACCGAAGUCCCUGAAAUUUUGAACCCAGAUAAAUUGUCCUUUAUUUUUAAACUUGAAAUUUGUCACACAAAUGUCCCAGGAAUGGAAUGUUGACUUGGGCAUGUAUGAUCUAAUCUACAUGUGGAAUUAAGG
RNAcentral lists this long non-coding RNA (2630 nucleotides) under Mus musculus (house mouse). RNAcentral describes it as "long non-coding RNA chr6:40054413-40057043". The record is from RNAcentral. Lineage: Eukaryota; Metazoa; Chordata; Mammalia; Rodentia; Muridae.